This 380-nucleotide ribosomal RNA is filed under the name uncultured Latescibacterota bacterium. RNAcentral describes it as "bacterial SSU rRNA". It matches the Rfam family "Bacterial small subunit ribosomal RNA", at positions 1003 to 1382 of the family's 1533-position model. The record is from RNAcentral. Lineage: Bacteria; Pseudomonadati; Candidatus Latescibacterota.
GAAAGACGGUUUCCUCUUCGGAGGCACCUGCACAGGUGCUGCAUGGCUGUCGUCAGCUCGUGUCGUGAGAUGUUGGGUUAAGUCCCGCAACGAGCGCAACCCUUAUCCCUAGUUGCCAUCAGGUAAAGCUGGGAACUCUGGGGAGACUGCCGGUGAUAAACCGGAGGAAGGCGGGGAUGACGUCAAGUCCUCAUGGCCCUUACAUCCCGGGCUACACACGUGCUACAAUGGCAGGUACAGAGGGCUGCGAAGCCGCGAGGUGGAGCGAAUCCCAGAAAACCUGUCUCAGUCCGGAUUGAAGUCUGCAACUCGACUUCAUGAAGGCGGAAUCGCUAGUAACCGCGAAUCAGCAGGUCGCGGUGAAUACGUUCCCGGGCCUU